This 70-nucleotide small nucleolar RNA is filed under the name Pteropus vampyrus (large flying fox). RNAcentral describes it as "Small nucleolar RNA SNORD112 (ENSPVAG00000028697.1)". The record is from RNAcentral. Lineage: Eukaryota; Metazoa; Chordata; Mammalia; Chiroptera; Pteropodidae.
UGGACCAAUGAUGACAGUAGUCCUGAACAAAGGAUUAUAAUUAAUCCAAAUCUGUGCUCCUAAGUCCAUU